Molecule: ribosomal RNA, 256 nt
Filed under: uncultured bacterium
Lineage: Bacteria
Description: partial 16S ribosomal RNA
Rfam family: Bacterial small subunit ribosomal RNA
Source: RNAcentral
UACGUAGGGGGGCUAGCGUUGUCCGGAAUCAUUGGGCGUAAAGCGCGUGUAGGCGGCCCGGUAAGUCCGCUGUGAAAGUCGGGGGGCUCAACCCUCGGAUGCCGGUGGAUACUGUCGGGCUCGGAGUACGGAAGAGGCGAGUGGAAUUCCUGGUGUAGCGGUGAAAUGCGCAGAUAUCAGGAAGAACACCCGUGACUAAGGCGGCUCUCUAGUACGGUACUGACGCUGAGACGCGAAAGCGUGGGGAGCAAACAGG